GCCAUGCCGCGUGCAGGAUGACGGUCCUAUGGAUUGUAAACUGCUUUAUAAGAGAGGAAACACUCCAACGUGUUGGAGCUUGACGGUAUCGUAAGAAUAAGGAUCGGCUAACUCCGUGCCAGCAGCCGCGGUAAUACGGAGGAUCCAAGCGUUAUCCGGAAUCAUUGGGUUUAAAGGGUCCGUAGGCGGUUUAGUAAGUCAGUGGUGAAAGCCCAUCGCUCAACGGUGGAACGGCCAUUGAUACUGCUAAACUUGAAUUAUUAGGAAGUAACUAGAAUAUGUAGUGUAGCGGUGAAAUGCUUAGAGAUUACAUGGAAUACCAAUUGCGAAGGCAGGUUACUACUAAUGGAUUGACGCUGAUGGACGAAAGCGUGGGUAGCGAACAGGAUUAGAUACCCUGGUAGUCCACGCCGUAAACGAUGGAUACUAGCUGUUGGAAGCAAUUUCAGUGGCUAAGCGAAAGUGAUAAGUAUCCCACCUGGGGAGUACGUUCGCAAGAAUGAAACUCAAAGGAAUUGACGGGGGCCCGCACAAGCGGUGGAGCAUGUGGUUUAAUUCGAUGAUACGCGAGGAACCUUACCAAGGCUUAAAUGUAGAUUGACCGGUUUGGAAACAGAUCUUUC
Molecule: ribosomal RNA, 623 nt
Filed under: Flavobacterium sp. Ri1Pt_3688
Lineage: Bacteria; Pseudomonadati; Bacteroidota; Flavobacteriia; Flavobacteriales; Flavobacteriaceae
Description: bacterial SSU rRNA
Rfam family: Bacterial small subunit ribosomal RNA
Source: RNAcentral